This 756-nucleotide long non-coding RNA is filed under the name Marmota monax (woodchuck). The record is from RNAcentral. Lineage: Eukaryota; Metazoa; Chordata; Mammalia; Rodentia; Sciuridae.
GUAAACAAAGCAAAUAUAUAGUCAAAAACACUAAAAAGCGAAUAUAUCAGAAAAUGCAGAGGACUUUCUCAUUUGUAGAUCCAAAAAGAAGAAAUGUGUGAUGGUUAAGAGCUUGAGCUUUGACUCCAUAACUUGCUAGUAGACAUAGGACUUUGAGCAAUUACUUUAGCAUUGCUGAGCCUCAGGUUACUCAUCUAAUAUAGAAUUGUGGAGAAAAAGAAGUAAGAAGCUGCAAAUGGUGGCACACACCUGUAAUCCUAGUGGCUCCAGAGGCUGGGGCAGGAGGAUCACCAGUUUAAAACCAGCCUCUGAAACUUAGCAAGUUUCUAAGCAACUUAUUGAGACCCUGUCUCAAAAUAAAACAUUUACAAAAAUGGGCUGGGACCCAAAGGACUUAAAAUCAGCAUAUUACAGUGAUGAUGAAGCCACAUCAGUGUUUAUAAGCAGCUCAAUUUACAAUAACUAAACUGUGGAACCAACCUAAGUGCCCUUCAACAGAUGAAUGGAUAAAGAAAUUAUGGUAUGUAUGUGUGUGUGUGUGUGUGUGUGUGUAUACACACACACAUACAUACAUACAUACAUACAUACAUAAUGGAGUAUUAGCCUUAAGGAAGAGUGAAAUUAUGGCAUUUUCCAGUAAAUGGAUGGAGUUGGAGAAUAUCAUACUAAGUGAAAUAAAUCAAUCCCAAAAAAACAAAAGGCAAAAUAUUUUCUCUGAUAUGCAGAUGCUAAUUCGCAAUAAGAGGGGGUGGAUAG